Poecilia latipinna (sailfin molly) is the source of this 308-nucleotide long non-coding RNA. RefSeq lists it as uncharacterized. Lineage: Eukaryota; Metazoa; Chordata; Actinopteri; Cyprinodontiformes; Poeciliidae. The transcript is spliced from 3 exons. The record is from RefSeq and is a predicted model, not a curated record.
AUCCAGUGGCUGCAAAAGAGCAUGAGUCUUUGCCGGUACCAAGCAGAGGUUGUUCUUCAGAAAACGGUCCGGAAAGAUUCAGGAGAUAAAGUGAAAGACAAAACACCAGAAAAGGACAGCACAAUCAUGAGGGACAGCAAGACAGCAGCCCAAUGGUGCCAGAAUGAGAAUUUUUUGGGACAGCUCACACUUCCUGCUGUUCUGGAUUAUGAUGUUCAACAGACAGAGGAAGCUCUCCAUGACCUCAAGAACUGGGAUGGAGAAACUGAUGAAAAUUGUCCAGUGGAGCCAUUCACUUUGUGUUUGAA